Molecule: long non-coding RNA, 533 nt
Filed under: Physcomitrium patens
Lineage: Eukaryota; Viridiplantae; Streptophyta; Bryopsida; Funariales; Funariaceae
Description: long non-coding RNA (PPAT_LNC014725)
Source: RNAcentral
GAGAAACAGGUUCGUGAGGAUUGUCUUAGCGAUGGCGGCGACUUCCAUGACCCGGGCUGGGGGCCUGCUUGCCCUGGAGCGCGCGCAGCGUGUAACCAAGUCCACCGGCGCCGUGAGCUCCAGGACAUUCCUGGGUAACGUGAAUGGCCUCCGUGCUACCGCGGCGCCAGUGCACGCAUUGCAGGCGAAGAACUUGACGGUGCGAGCUGGAGCCGAGAAGUACCAGGUCAUCGAGCCCCUCAACGGCGACCCCUUCAUCGGUGGAUUCGAGACGCCCGUGACUAGCAGCCCCCUGAUUGCCUGGUAUCUCUCUAACCUGCCCGCUUACCGCACCGCUGUUGCUCCCUUGUUGAGGGGUGUCGAGAUCGGACUCGCCCACGGGUACCUUUUGGUGGGUCCUUUUGUGCUCACUGGACCGUUGAGGAACUCCGCUGUUAGGGGCGAGGCAGGAAGUCUCGCCGCUGCCGGUCUCGUUACUAUCCUCACCAUGUGCCUGACGAUCUACGGCAUUGCUUCCUUCAAGGAAGGUGAGC